RNAcentral lists this ribosomal RNA (253 nucleotides) under uncultured bacterium. RNAcentral's name for it is "partial 16S ribosomal RNA". It matches the Rfam family "Bacterial small subunit ribosomal RNA", at positions 524 to 776 of the family's 1533-position model. The record is from RNAcentral.
UACGAAGGGGGCUAGCGUUGUUCGGAAUUACUGGGCGUAAAGGGCGUGUAGGCGGUGUGUCAAGUCAGGCGUGAAAGCCCCGGGCUCAACCUGGGAACCGCGCUUGAGACUGGCACGCUCGAGUUCGGGAGAGGAUGGUGGAAUUCCCAGUGUAGAGGUGAAAUUCGUAGAUAUUGGGAAGAACACCGAUGGCGAAGGCAGCCAUCUGGACCGACACUGACGCUGAGGCGCGAAAGCGUGGGGAGCAAACAGG